Molecule: ribosomal RNA, 468 nt
Filed under: uncultured bacterium
Lineage: Bacteria
Description: partial 16S ribosomal RNA
Rfam family: Bacterial small subunit ribosomal RNA
Source: RNAcentral
GACGAACGCUGGCGGCGUGCUUAACACAUGCAAGUCGAACGGAAAGGCCCUGCUUUUGUGGGGUGCUCGAGUGGCGAACGGGUGAGUAACACGUGAGUAACCUGCCCUUGACUUUGGGAUAACUUCAGGAAACUGGGGCUAAUACCGGAUAGGAGCUCCUGCUGCAUGGUGGGGGUUGGAAAGUUUCGGCGGUUGGGGAUGGACUCGCGGCUUAUCAGCUUGUUGGUGGGGUAGUGGCUUACCAAGGCUUUGACGGGUAGCCGGCCUGGGAGGGUGACCGGCCACAUUGGGACUGAGAUACGGCCCAGACUCCUACGGGAGGCAGCAGUGGGGAAUAUUGCACAAUGGGCGGAAGCCUGAUGCAGCAACGCCGCGUGCGGGAUGGCGGCCUUCGGGUUGUAAACCGCUUUCGCCUGUGACGAAGCGUGAGUGACGGUAAUGGGUAAAGAAGCACCGGCUAACUACGUG